Molecule: ribosomal RNA, 460 nt
Filed under: uncultured bacterium
Lineage: Bacteria
Description: partial 16S ribosomal RNA
Rfam family: Bacterial small subunit ribosomal RNA
Source: RNAcentral
CCUACGGGAGGCAGCAGUGAGGAAUAUUGGUCAAUGGACGAGAGUCUGAACCAGCCAAGUAGCGUGAAGGAUGACUGCCCUAUGGGUUGUAAACUUCUUUUAUAUGGGAAUAAAAUGUUCCACGUGUGGGAUUUUGUAUGUACCAUAUGAAUAAGGAUCGGCUAACUCCGUGCCAGCAGCCGCGGUAAUACGGAGGAUCCGAGCGUUAUCCGGAUUUAUUGGGUUUAAAGGGAGCGUAGGUGGAUUGUUAAGUCAGUUGUGAAAGUUUGCGGCUCAACCGUAAAAUUGCAGUUGAAACUGGCAGUCUUGAGUACAGUAGAGGGGGGCGGAAUUCGUGGUGUAGCGGUGAAAUGCUUAGAUAUCACGAAGAACCCCGAUUGCGAAGGCAGUUCACUGGACUGCAACUGACACUGAGGCUCGAAAGUGUGGGUAUCAAACAGGAUUAGAUACCCGAGUAGUC